This 2794-nucleotide long non-coding RNA is filed under the name Felis catus (domestic cat). Its description in RNAcentral is "lncRNA (ENSFCAG00000042328.2)". Lineage: Eukaryota; Metazoa; Chordata; Mammalia; Carnivora; Felidae. The record is from RNAcentral.
UGGAGGGGCACCGCGUCCUGAUGGGUUCUUCUCCCUACUCGUCCUCCUGACCUCAGAGCGUGAGGGCUUCUUCCUUUUCUCCCACCUGGCCCAGCUGCCCUCCUGGGACCCAGAGUUCCCAGAAAAAAAAAAAGCCUUUCUCAUCAACUCUCAAAGGCCCCGGCAGCUGCAAGGGGGAGCCUCGGGAACCCAGUGGGGGCACUAGGGGGAAGUUUGGGGUCUUUACGCUGUUCUGCCUCACCACUCACAACCACUCCCCUGCUGCUUUGGUCUCAACUUUCCCGGAACCGGGUGCUGGGCUUCAACUCCUAUCCACCAAUACCUACCCAGAGCAGGGGCGCCGGGUCACUGCCAAGGUUUGGUGGUGACGGGAGGCCUGGGGGCAGCGGUGAUAGAAGGGCCAGAGGGUAUGGGGGGCUCUGGGAGCCUCAGCGGGGGUGGGGGGAGGACUCGAGUGCCCAAGCUCAGCCUCCUUGAAAGCCUCAAAAGCACGUCCCGGGGGCGUCUUUUCCAUGGUGUCCUGCUUGCUCUCCUUGCAAAGGCCAUGGUGACUCAGACAUCCGCCAAACCCAGGAGCUCCCCUUUUCUCCAGCGUUCUUCUUGUCCAGCAGGGAGGCCUGUGGACUGCUUCUGGGCCUCCACUGCCAGGCCUGAUCGCAGCCCAUGACCUUCGCGGAGGGGUGGAGGCGGGGGGUGGGGGGGGAACAACCAAGGGCCAGGGAUGUUGCCCAGCAAGACCGCGGCCUCACUGCGCCACCGGAGGAACAGCCACCGACGAGGCCCGGCGGACCCAGGCGCCGCCACCCACCCAUGCCCGCGGCGGGCCUGCGGGAGCGCAGGGGCCAAGGCCGUGAAGCCGGGCAGCCAGCCUUGCACCAUUGACAGCCGGGGCACGUCUGCGGAGCCCGGGGGGAACAAUCAACGGACUCUAUGUCCCGGGAGCUGGGGACACGCCUGUAAGGCCUUUCUGCCUGCUCAUAGCCACUGGGAGAAAAAUCAAGCGUCUUCCUCUUUGAUAAAUAGAGGAAAGCCGGUGGGAUCAGGUACAUAUAUAAAUAGUGUUGACCUCCUCGGCCCCUCCUCAUUGAAAAGCAGAAAGCCCAUUACAGGGGCAGGUUGCUCAGUGCCUUUGAGUAUCCACCAUUACCACCCCGUGGACUUCACUGGACCCCAGACUACUUACUUGGCAUCCCUGUCCUGUUGAAAACAUCCAGGACAACUAUUAAAUAGUUCUCGGAAGAAUUAAAGACAUUCUUCAGGUCUGAAACAUUUUUAAAGCCCUGGAUGAAAUCUUCAAGGAGCACAAAGUAUAAUCGGUAGGACCACCUGAGGAAGUCUGAAAGCUUUGUCCCCCACCCCUCCCCAAAGUUAAUCAAAGAUACUGUAGACGUCAUUGUGCUCACUAAGGGGUUUUUCCGCAUUGUAACCUACAGAUUGUCCAGACCAAGCUACCAAGACAUUUAUUUUCAUUUUGUUAGUUUCUGGGCACUACACUUUCUGAUUAGACUUGUUUAUUUUUAAAAACUCUGCUGGAGAGUUUCCAACCUUGGAGGUGCAAAUGAAAACGACUCUCCCUCCCAGGUUCUUACAGGGUGGGGGAGGAGCACAAACCUGUCUGGUCCCAACUCAGACCUGGAGGUUGCCCCGUCUGAACCUGGGUGGAGUGAGGGUAGCUGGUUCGGGCACCUUGUAUUUCAGUGCUGGCACAAAGCGAGCUCUUUGAAAUGAAUAUCUAUUCUAUUUCAGUGUGCAAUGUUCCAGCCGACUAAAUGGGCUUGCCUUCUGCCGAGAGGCAGUCCUGGAGGACACAACUAAUGUGCAAUCUCCCAGGCAGCUCUUCAUCAGAACAUCCCUUGUCCUUUUGUUUUUGUUUUCGUAUUAAAAGAUGUUUUUGCUUUCCUCUCAGUGUCCGUCCUGUUAUUUUGUAGCUACAACAAUGAAACAGGAACAGUUUAUCAUUCUUUUUUGUCCUUUGUAACCAUGCCUUGUAUUGGGAUGUCACAAAGCCCCAGAUACACCUCAGCGUGCCCUGUGCUUUUGAUGUUUACUUGCUACUCCCCGGGUCACCCAGAGACCCACACUUGAUUCUGCCUUCCGCCCCUUCCAGAUGGUUCUCUCCUGGACAAGGUCCCUCUCCCAGCUUGCAGGGAAAGGGGAUUCACUAAUUUGCUUCUCAAAUUAGAAAAGACCAAACCCAGGUUCUCCAGGUAAGUGAUUCUGGCUUAUACUGGUGACUAAGAUGUUGUGUGGGAGCAUCUCCCCAGGAUCACGUCUCUCAAGGAGAGAGAACGGGAGGCACGUUUCCACAGACAUUUCUAAAACUAUGGCAACUAAGUGAGUUUUACGGAUAAAAUUCUGGUGUAUUCCCGGGCAGCUCAAGUUAUUUAAAUUUUAGUUUUGUUCACAUGUAUGGGCGCACACAGGCCAACUAGGAUUAUGUUACCAGCGCAUUGCCACUGGACAAGUCUGGUGACAGCAACUCAGAUCAACAAACUUAUUUUCUGGUGAGUGACAAAGAAAAGGCUCCCCAUACCUUUAAAAUUGUUAUUUUAUACUGUUUAACACCCCCACAGCCAGGAAUUGGCCAGACUUCCCUGCUUCCUUUUCUAGGAACAGGUAACUAACCACUCUCCCCUCCUCCAAGACUUGGCUAUUUUUAAAAGCUAAAAUUUCUCUUUCCAAAGGGAGGAAAAGGAACGAAUUCCAUUAAUGAAUUACGUACACGGAAUGUGACUUGUCUGGGACAAUUGUAUUUGUAAAUAAAUGGCUUCCUGUUUAUUUAUGUACCUUUUAC